UAUAGUCGGCUCACCAGCCAUGCCACUAUUGCCAUCUACUUCCCCAUCGCCUCUCGCCGUUAUGCAACCUAAUCACGAACCAGAUCUGGAGAUUUCUAGAUCUAGAAAAAUAUAGAAGAAGGAGAAGAUCGGAUGGAGCUUGAAGCGAAAAGGCAUUUGAUCUUCCAGAAAGAGUCUUUACCAGCUUGCAUUUUGCGUUUUGAGGUGAUGAGCAGGAAGGCGGCGACGCCUAGAUGAUUAUUUGCAACUUGUUUUGGA
Camellia sinensis is the source of this 258-nucleotide long non-coding RNA. RefSeq lists it as uncharacterized. NCBI's taxonomy places the organism in Eukaryota, Viridiplantae, Streptophyta, Magnoliopsida, Ericales, Theaceae. The record is from RefSeq and is a predicted model, not a curated record.